This 4650-nucleotide long non-coding RNA is filed under the name Gossypium barbadense (sea-island cotton). Its description in RNAcentral is "long non-coding RNA (GBAR_LNC022160)". The record is from RNAcentral. Lineage: Eukaryota; Viridiplantae; Streptophyta; Magnoliopsida; Malvales; Malvaceae.
CAAAGCAAGAGCAGAGGUGAUUGAGGUCUUUGGUAAUCAAAACCCAGAUUCUGAAGGGAUGGCCAAAUUAAAGACGGUAAGCAAACUAUACAAAUUCAAUAGCUUGAAAACUAACACUGACCAUUUAUAUUGCCUUUUGGAUUUUUUUUUUCUCCAACAGAUUACCAUGAUUAUCAAUGAAACUUUACGGCUCUAUCCUCCUAUAAAUCGCGUGAUAAGAGAAGUAGGAAGAGAAGUCCAAUUAGGAAAACUUGUCCUGCCUACUCAUUCAGAGGUCGACAUGCAAAUCAUAGCACUUCACCAUGACCCUGACUUAUGGGGAGAUGAUGUUAACCUUUUCAAACCAGAGAGGUUUGCUGAAGGGAUAGCGAAAGCUACUAAGUACAAUGCAGCUGCAUUUAUGCCUUUUGGAUUGGGACCUCGAUCUUGCGUAGGCAUGAGCUUUGCAAUCACUGAAGUGAAAACUGCACUUUCCAUGAUUCUGCAACGCUAUACUUUCACCGUCUCCCCUACCUAUGUUCACGCACCUGCACCACGUCUUUCACUCAAGCCACAACAUGGGAUUCAGUUGUUGUUUCAUUCACUACAUUAUGAUGCUUAAAAUUCUAGGCUGUUGGUCUCCAAUAUUGUAAUAUAUAAUAAAAUGUGGAUGAUACUGUAUUUUGCAACCAUACGAUGAUAUAUGGUUUGGGGAUUUCAUGUUUUGGCAACAAGAUUAUAUGCUUUUUGUUGUUGUUGAUAUUGUUAAAGGUUAAAAAGGUAUUACAGCAAACAUCGCCACCGCAGGAGCAGGCCCUACGGUCCACCAAAGAGAAAUCAAUUCAAACUACCCCAAAAAGCUGGAACGGCAGCAGCAAAUCGAGUCAGCUCCCUGAACAUCAUACAGCAACACAGAAAGAAGAACAUCACAACCCAGUCAUAUACACGCCAUGAAGACAUUGGACUCCACAUUUUGCUAAAGUAUCAGCAAAGCAGCUAGAUUCUUUAUACACAUUCACAAUGGAGACAUUAUGGGAUCUCAUCACAGAGCUUAGAAUAUGACCCAUCCAGCAUUUGAGAAACAGUGAAGAUGUCAAGUCCAGGAGCUCCAAACAAUGCCUUGGCCGCUGGAUCCUAUAAUUAGGUGUCUUUCUUCCAUUACUACUGCAGUAGUGAAGUUUUUAUUCCACUUGGUUCCCAUCUUCCAGAGUUUCUGCUUGAAACACUCACUCCUGGAGCCGGCCAUUACAUUGCUUGUUAGCUUUCAUGGAAGGCUCGAAGCUCAUUAGACCAGAAACAUUGUUACUUUGCCUAUGUAUCUAUUUGACAUAUUCUCUUAAGGAAGAGCUACUUAUAUCAAGGCUCCAUCUUUCUGAGUUGCAGGGCAAAAGUCCGUUCUCCAUGCAAAACUACCCAUUUCCACUAAAGCACACUAGCUUUCGCCAUCCCAUCCGCGAAAAAACCUGAAAUGAUACACCAGAAACUCCCUCAAGACAGACAGAGCCAAGUCACUUUCUCGCUAAUCCCCAUUGAACCCUCCAAUUAAGCAAAGCCAUUUCAUAUUUCAACCCAAUGGCCACCACAAUUGCCGUACAAAAUUUACAAAUUAAAAUGCAAAAAGUAAUACAGAAAAAUACACAGCCCAAGCUCCAAUAGUAACAUAAACAUUCAUUUUAUAACAAUAAAGUUAAAGCCACGAAUAUUUUCAAAAAAAUUCAAUUAAGCCCUUGAAUGUUAAAAUUUCAAUCAAUUAAGCUCUUUGAUAGUUAAAGUUAACAGUUAAUUGUUAUAGUUAAAAUUUCAAUCAAUUAAGGUACGGUGUAGCGUUUGUUUACCCAUCGUUUAACCAUGUGGUUGAAGGUUCGAUCCCCACUUAUGGAAAUGAAGCACAUUUCAUAGUCAGUCAUUUACCUAUUUGGAGAGCACUUAUAGUGAGAAGAUUAACUACUGUUGUUGUUGGUGAAUUCCCUGAUUAUUACAAAUAAAAAAUAACAAUUGUCAUUUUUUUUGGAUUAUUUUUGCCACGUGCCAUGCUAAGAUUGUGCCACGUGGUAUAAAAUUAUAAAAAUCAUAUAAAAAUUAUACAAGAAUUAUAAAAAUGAAUAAAAUUAGAAAAAAUAUAUAAAAAAUCUAUUUUUAAAAGGUUAAUAAAUUUAAUAUUUUAUUAUUUUGAAAAGGAUAAUAAAUUUUUAAAAGGUUUUUUUAUUCUUAAAUUUUUAAGGGCUAUUUAAAUUUAAUUUCAAAAUAAAGCAUGCCUAAUAUAUAAAUAGACAUUUAAUUGGUGUCCAACAGGAAUGGCGUCACUCCUAUUUUUCAUCUAGUUUAAAAAUGAUAAUUAAUUCAUCAGGUGUCUGAACAUUUUUAUUUAUUCUUCAAUUCAAUGUCACAAAAAACAAUGACAACAUCCAAAAUAUUUUUUUUUUUUAAAAUGAGUCACCGACAUUUAUGGUUUAAAAUGAGUUUCAAAAUAAGUUAUUUUUAUAAAUAAUUAAAAGUUUUGGGUAUUUUUAAUAAAAAAAGCCUAAGUUUGAUGAAUGGCGUCAGCCAUUAUGUAGGUCUACUUAAUACGAAAACGACGGCUUGAUUUUGUUGGCCAAAAGGAAAGUACCUUUUGGGUUUUGCUUUGCCCAAAUGCUAGCAAAGUCUUUGCAUGCAUUUGUUUGAUUGGAAAAGUGAGAAAUAGAUGAACAUGGUAAGCACAAAUUCUAGACAUUACCAUAUCACCUAUAAAAUUUAGUUAUCUUUUUAAUUUCUUUUGGUGUAUUAUAAAAAAAAAAUUCUAAUAACACGACUUGAAUCAAAUCAUAUCUUAGUCAAGAGAUGGGGUUAUUUUAAUUUUUGUUUAUAAAAAAAAAAUCUUGUUCAUUGAGGGCCCUAGUAGGAGGUAUUGAAUAAUAACUAGAAGUCAAAUCCUGCACGCUUCCCAUUUCUGUGUAUUGAAUUGGCUGUAAUUUUCAAAGGACAUGAACCUUGAAGAGGGACAAGUGUAGUCUCUUGAUGAUAAAUGUGUUGACUGUCACCUUGCAAAACCCAGAUUACCAUAACAGAUGCAAAAUCUGAUCGGUGAAGAUAAGAAAAUGGAGACCAUGGGAAAUCUUCUAAUCCUGUUUACAGCUUCUUUAUGCCUCUAUCUUUUCGUUGCUUUGCUCAAUGUUUUCUACAAGUAUUGCUGGAUACCUCAACGGGUACAGUUCAUCAUGAAUUCACAAGGAAUCAGAGGACCUCCUUAUGAAUUUAUCCAUGGAAACAACAAAGAAGCUGCCCAAAUGCUCAUGGAAGCAUCUACCAAACCUAUGGCCUUGACACACGAUAUAUUUCCCAGAGUCAUGCCUCAUGUUUACUCCUGGAUCAACAAAUACGGUGAGAAUAUGUUUUUUUUAUCUUUUUUGGGUAGUAUUUUCUGAUUAACCUCCACUUUCCAUGAAGAGAAAUCAUUUUCUUUCAGGGAAGACUUAUCUUAGUUGGAAUGGAAUUCGAGCUCAACUGCUAAUUACAGACCCAGAUCUAGUCAAAGAGGUCCUUAAAAACAGUGACAAAGCUUUUCGAAAGCCAAAGGCUUCAUAUUUCUUCGACAAGCUACUAGGCGAUGGGCUUGCUUCAACCGAACGUGAGAAAUGGGCAAGGCAAAGGAAACUGGCCAAUUAUGCCUUUCAUGGGGAGAGCUUAAAAGUAAAUCAUCUCUACCUUCUAAUCUAAUUAUUGUAGUGCGACAUUUACAAACUUGAUCAUUUUUUGCAGAAUAUGACUCCAGCAGUAGUUGCUAGCGUUGAAACCAUGCUUGAGAAAUGGAAAAGUAAGGAGGGCAAAGAGAUAGAAGUGUUCCAAGAGUUCAGAUUAUUGACUUCAGAAGUGAUAUCCAGAACCGCCUUUGGUAGCAGUUACUUGGAAGGGGAGAAGAUUUUUGACAUGCUGAUGAAGUUGUCAGUAAUUGCAGGCAGAAAUAUUUUUAAAGCAAAGAUUCCCAUCAUCAGGUAACUUCAUCAAAUCUUUACUUUGUUAAUCAACAUACUUCAGCUUACAAUGGGUUGAUUUAAUCUGGUUGUCCUUUUCAGCAAGUUUUGGAAAUCUGCUGAUGAAAUUGAAUCAGAAAGAAUUGCCAAAAUGAUACAUGAUUCUGUGAUGAGGAUUGUUAAAAAAAGGGAAGAGAGAGUAGUGAACGGAGAAGCUGAUAACUUCGGUCGUGAUUUUCUGGGAUUACUCGUAGAUGCUUAUCAUGAGGCGGACCAGGAAAACAGGCUUUCGAUUCAAGAUAUGGUAGAUGAGUGUAAAACUUUUUAUUUUGCUGGGCAAGAAACAGUCAAUUCCUUGCUUGCAUGGGCAACUCUGCUUUUAGCAAUACACACCGAUUGGCAAGACAAAGCAAGAGCAGAGGUGAUUGAGGUCUUUGGUAAUCAAAACCCAGAUUCUGAAGGGAUGGCUAAAUUAAAGACGGUAAGCAAACUAUACAAAUUCAAUAGCUUGAAAACUAGCACUGACCAUUCAUAUUGCCUUUUGGAUUUUUUUUUCUCCGAUAGAUUACCAUGAUUAUCAAUGAAACUUUACGGCUCUAUCCUCCUAUAAGUGGCGUGAUAAGAGAAGUAGGAAGAGAAGUCCAAUUAGGAAAACUUGUCCUGCCUACUCAUUCAGAGGUCGACAUGCGAAUCAUAGCGCUUCACCAUGACCCUGACUUAU